CCGAGGUCCAGGCAGGAUGGUGGCGAGUCCUGGGUGAGCCGAAGCCCGGUGACUCCUUUGCUCUCCCGCCUCUGAGUCCUGAGCUAUUUGUGAGCGCUGUGAUGACAGGACGGCCUGAGGUCAGCACCCUGGAGAUUCCUCGCCAGCCUCUGCCCUUCAGGGUGAGGUGCCCCUGUCCUGAGCCUGUGUCCACUCUGGAGGACCGAGGAGAGCAGGACGCACACCUCACUAUGCUUUGCCUGCUGCUGUGUCUCCAACAUAUGGCCCUGAGUAUGGGCACAGCAGAUGAGUGAGCACAUCUCUUCCCUCUGCCACCUGCACUCUGCAAGAAGUCAGGUUCAGAGCACUGCCCUCCUUCGAGCUGGAAAGGCUCCUGGGAGGAGGGUGGGGCUGUGGCUUCAUACUCCAGCCGGGGAAGGCUCUGGAAUGCUUUAGAGCUUCUGCCUUAAGAAGAAAAUGUAACCAAAGACUGCUGUGAAAGGGUUCAUCACAUUUAUGGAUCAACAACUAGGGCUGACAAGUCAGUGCAUCUGGGCCAGGGCCACCUUGGGAGAUGUCAGCCUAGCAGGGGCUCAGGCCAAGGGUCCCGCCCUGCCGCUCGCUGCCAGCAUGGGGCUCUGUGACUGGGUUGCCCAGCCAGAUUGAGGGCGGUGGACCAGGGGCUGGGGAUUUAGCUCAGUGGCAUAAGUGCCUGCCUUGAAAGCAGGCAGUCGUGAGUUCCAUCCCUGGUACCAAUAAAAACGAAAAAAAAAAAAAAAAAAAAAAAA
Molecule: long non-coding RNA, 767 nt
Organism: Cavia porcellus (domestic guinea pig)
Lineage: Eukaryota; Metazoa; Chordata; Mammalia; Rodentia; Caviidae
Exons: 2
Source: RefSeq, a predicted model, not a curated record